This 420-nucleotide ribosomal RNA is filed under the name uncultured bacterium. RNAcentral describes it as "bacterial SSU rRNA". It matches the Rfam family "Bacterial small subunit ribosomal RNA", at positions 340 to 752 of the family's 1533-position model. The record is from RNAcentral.
UACGGAAGGCAGCAGUGGGGAAUAUUGCACAAUGGGCGCAAGCCUGAUGCAGCCAUGCCGCGUGUAUGAAGAAGGCCUUCGGGUUGUAAAGUACUUUCAGCGGGGAGGAAGGGAGUAAAGUUAAUACCUUUGCUCAUUGACGUUACCCGCAGAAGAAGCACCGGCUAACUCCGUGCCAGCAGCCGCGGUAAUACGGAGGGUGCAAGCGUUAAUCGGAAUUACUGGGCGUAAAGCGCACGCAGGCGGUUUUGUUAGUCAGAUGUGAAAUCCCCGGGCUCAACCUGGGAACUGCAUCUGAUACUGGCAAGCUUGAGUCUCGUAGAGGGGGUAGAAUUCCAGGUGUAGCGGUGAAAUGCGUAGAGAUCUGGAGGAAUACCGGUGGCGAAGGCGGCCCCUGGGACGAAGACUGACGCUCAGGGU